Molecule: long non-coding RNA, 888 nt
Organism: Rattus rattus (black rat)
Lineage: Eukaryota; Metazoa; Chordata; Mammalia; Rodentia; Muridae
Exons: 2
Source: RefSeq, a predicted model, not a curated record
ACGAAUAGCUGAGUUAGUCUCACUACCCACUGACCAACUUAUCCAGCAACGACAUCAAAUGUCCAUUGGUGUUUUGAAACCCAGAGUCUGAGAAGAAUCAAUACAUGUUGCUGCUGACACCUCUUUUGACAGCCCAGAAUGACCCCAGGGAAUGGCACAAUGAAGAUGGGUCAAGAUAAACUUCACAGGCAUGAGACUUCCAUAUUAGGUAAUAAUAGAUGUUUGUCAAGUUUGAUAAUUAACAUACCCAGCAUUUGAAACAUUCUGGAUAUUAAAACAGAAAAUGUUUGAAAUAUAGUCAGAGUUCAGUAUGGGGAAAAUUCUUUGAUCAAGAGAAAUGCAAAACUAUAAGUAGCUAAUCUGCUUUGAGUCAGUCUGUGUAGUCAGCUUGCAAAUUCUCCCCAUAGAUAAGAACAUAAACCUAUCAAGGUACCUCCGUGGGAAGUCAAUCAGUGAUUAGCCAGUCAAUGGGGUGUGCCAGUACAAACAUGAUCUAAGAUUAGUUAACUUGAAAGGUUCUGAAUUCUUUCAACCUGGAUAGGAAAGAAACUGGUUAAGAGGUUUCCAAUAGUGACAAACAUAAAUCCUACCAACAUUCUUUCAAUCAUGAAGUCUGUAAUAGGCUAGAAAUAUGCAGAAUUGAAAAAGAAACUGAAUAAAUAAAGAAGUAAACUAAGAACAGCUAGAUAAAUGUAGACGAAAUUGUGCACGAUCCUGAAGUUGGCAAAUAAAACAUUCUUGUAUGUUUUCUGAUAUUUAUAGAUAUUUUAUUUCUGAGAAGUAGAUAAUUCAUUGUAAUUUUCCUAUAUGUAAAUAUUUACUUUCGCAUCUUGUAUUUAAUUACCUUCUUCCUUGUUUUAACCAAAUGUAGAACAAGAAACAAAUUAA